GCUGCAUUCUGCAUUUGAGGGGAAUAGGGGAACGGUUUUUGUUUUUAUCUGGAUCUGGACAUGAUCUGGACUGUGAUCUGGACUUUAUCUGGUUAUUGAUCAAGGUUAUUAUUUAUUAUCGUGGUUUUUUUGCUUAAUUUACCUGUUUUUAUAUAGUGCUAGGCUAGGUAUUAAUUUAUUUUAAAAGCUUAAAAAAAAUAAGAAAUGCCUGGGUGUGGGGUGGCUACUUUGGGCUACUUGCAACAACACAAAUCGGAAAACGAUUGGACAACAAACAAAUCGGAAACGUGGAUAAUUGCCUGCCGGCGAGACGAUAAAAUAAAUCUAAAAAAUGCUUGUGUCUACUCCAUACAUUUUGAUGCUGAGUGCUUUGAAAUUCCAAUAAAAUAAAGGUUGCUACGAUACAGUCCAAAAACUGGUAGCUACUUAAAACUUGACGCUGUGCCAGUAUUAAAUCUUCCUUCUUCAUCUCAUAAACCUAGGACUACUGCAAGAUCUGGUAGAAUUACUAAAAGAAGGCAAUAUAACACAGUGACGGAGAUAUUAAAGGAAUUAUUUGAGACUCAGCCUUUAACUUCAUAUGAAGAACCUUAUUUGUAAUCUUCAACUAAUAAAGAAAACCAAGCAUCUGGUAACCAAAUCUGCAUCUGGAAUUAACCAAAACAAAAGAGACUAGUCUUACUGUGAAAACCCCCAGCAGAAUUAAUAAUACUGAGUCAAAUGAACUUGAUCAGUUUAGAGACAAAAUUAAAAUGUUAGAGAAACAAAAUAAAGAGCUACAAGAACAGGUUAGGGUAAUGAAGUAUACUCUUCAGAAGUAUGAAAAUGCAUUAGGUAUAGUUUUUACACCAGGCCAAAUAAAAAAAUUGCUUCAUUUGGAGAAAGGAAUAAAAGUCCAUUGGUCACCAGAUGUAAAUAAAUUGUUAAAGUAGUUAGAUGAGUAUCCAUUUUCAUUUUAUAUUAUUACU
RNAcentral lists this long non-coding RNA (968 nucleotides) under Sitophilus oryzae (rice weevil). Its description in RNAcentral is "uncharacterized LOC115887401, transcript variant X3". Lineage: Eukaryota; Metazoa; Arthropoda; Insecta; Coleoptera; Curculionidae. The record is from RNAcentral.